RNAcentral lists this ribosomal RNA (400 nucleotides) under uncultured bacterium. RNAcentral's name for it is "bacterial SSU rRNA". It matches the Rfam family "Bacterial small subunit ribosomal RNA", at positions 355 to 746 of the family's 1533-position model. The record is from RNAcentral.
UGGGGAAUCUUGCGCAAUGGACGAAAGUCUGACGCAGCGACGCCGCGUGGGUGACGAAGGCCUUCGGGUUGUAAAGCCCUGUGGGGCGAGACGAACAGCUUCUGGUCGAACAGGCCAGGGGUCUGACGGUAUCGCCUUAGCAAGCACCGGCUAACUCUGUGCCAGCAGCCGCGGUAAUACAGAGGGUGCAAACGUUGCUCGGAAUUACUGGGCGUAAAGCGCGUGUAGGCGGUUUUAUAAGUCCGAUGUGAAAGCCCAGGGCUCAACCCUGGAAGUGCAUUGGAUACUGUGAAGCUGGAGUCCUGAAGAGGAGAGCGGAAUUCCCGGCGUGGAGGUGAAAUUCGUAGAUAUCGGGAGGAACACCUGUGGCGAAGGCGGCUCUCUGGGCAGGUACUGACGC